RNAcentral lists this small nuclear RNA (100 nucleotides) under Sorex araneus (European shrew). Lineage: Eukaryota; Metazoa; Chordata; Mammalia; Eulipotyphla; Soricidae. The record is from RNAcentral.
GAGUGCAAUGCAAACACCCUACCGCUAAAAUUGGAAGAAUACAGAGAAGAUUAGCAUGGCCCCUGCGCAAGGAUGAAUAGUAUAGGAAGUCUAAAACUUU